AUGACCCUAGGUUAGGUGGGAUUACCCGUUGAGUUUAA
This 38-nucleotide ribosomal RNA is filed under the name Lycopus virginicus. Its description in RNAcentral is "partial 26S ribosomal RNA". Lineage: Eukaryota; Viridiplantae; Streptophyta; Magnoliopsida; Lamiales; Lamiaceae. The record is from RNAcentral.